ACCGGAUCGCCCGCGCGAUGGAUCGAGGCGGCGAAUCGGCGCAUCUCAGAGGCUUGGCGACAAGGGCGUGGGAUUGGAAGAUGUGGAUUUCCUCUUCUUCCUCCUCCGCUCGUAACGGGUCGGUGAUGCUCCACUCUCGCAAGCAAGAAAGGGCAUAUUCUCCGCCAUGGAAUCAUUCUCUUAGGGUUUUAGGGCAUUGUUGGGCGUUCCCUCUUCUUCUUCCCUGGGCGCCAUUGCUGCGAUCGCGCGCCUCGAUCGCCAUGGCUGCUAGAAAUGUAGGAAUCUCAGCUCGCUCGCGGUGUGGAAUGCAGGAAGAGAUUGGGCGGAUUUCCCAGGGUUCUUGGACAAGCUCGAUCAGACUGGCAAGGCUGGUGCUAGCUCGUGACUUGGAUUCUAAAUUUCCACUGGUAUCAGAGAGAAAUUCUUUCAAAGAAGAGGAAAAACUGUUGCUUGAUGCGAUGAUGAUUGCAUGAUACUGGGACACCUCUCUACCUAAAGCAUCAAUCGCCCGUGAUCAUUUCUCUCAGAGCUUUCGUACGACGCUUGGGUGAGGGAAUAUUGUCGCGCUCGCCAUCCACAGUAGCGUCCUCGUUCAUGUAUGGUGGACGCGGAAGCCGGAAAGAUUGACAAGUAAGCGUCUUAUUGUUUUGGUUUGCUUUGUCCUUUUAACAGCGCUGGUCCUUGGCUUUUAUGCAGGUGUCGUUGCGUCGAGAGAGAACGCAGAGUCCAGCUAAAAGAACACGUUGCUCCUACGGU
Selaginella moellendorffii is the source of this 756-nucleotide RNA transcript. RefSeq lists it as uncharacterized. The transcript is spliced from 3 exons. NCBI's taxonomy places the organism in Eukaryota, Viridiplantae, Streptophyta, Lycopodiopsida, Selaginellales, Selaginellaceae. The record is from RefSeq and is a predicted model, not a curated record.